AGCGGAGGAAAAGAAAUUAACUAAGAUUGCCUUAGUAACGGCGAGUGAAGUGGCAAAAGCCCAAACUGGAAAUCUUCAUGCUUCGCAUGACGAAUUGUAAUCUAAAGAGUAGAAGCUCACCUGUUGAUGUCGCAGAAGUGCCUUAGAACGGGCCGCCAGAGAGGGUGACAGCCCCGUAUGUGGUGACAUUAGCUAACGAGCUCUGCUUGAAGAGUCGGGUAGUUUUGAAUUGCUGCCCUAAGUGGGAGAUAGACUUCUUCUAAGGCUAAAUACAUGUGGGAAACCGAUAGCGAACAAGUACUGUGAAGGAAAGAUGAAAAGAACUUUGAAAAGAGAGUCAAAAGACUUGAAAUCGUUGAGAAGGAAGCGGUAGAAAAUUAUUCUCUGCGGUAGCAAAGUGUUCCACACGAGUAUUACAGCUGUAUAGUACGUCAAAGGCUUGCAGUUGUACGUGCUUGUUGGAUUGCGGAGCUCACGUAGUGAGGCAAAAUGAGGUGUUGAAUCCACAAAAGCUUCUUGGAUCUGGAACUCUGCGGAGUUCAAUCCUGGUUUGCUGGUGGGCUUAACGCCUGAGGAUGCUCUGUGCGAUUUUGCCAAAAUGGUUUUUACCGACCCGUCUUGAAACACGGACCAAGGAGUCUAACAUAUAUGCGAGUGUGCUGGUGGAGAAACCAACACGCAUAAUGAAAGUAAGAGAUGCCAAGCGCAAGCAGCAGCAUCAACCGAUGAGGUUCCUCUGGUGCCUAUUCGAGUAAGAGCAUAUCUGUUAGGACCCGAAAGAUGGUGAACUAUGCCUGAGUAGGGUGAAGCCAGGGGAAACUCUGGUGGAGGCUCGUAGCGGUUCUGACGUGCAAAUCGAUCGUCAAACUUGGGUAUAGGGGCGAAAGACUAAUCGAACCAUCUAGUAGCUGGUUCCCUCCGAAGUUUCCCUCAGGAUAGCUGGGACAACAACGCAGUUUUAUUAGGUAAAGCGAAUGAUUAGAGGUAUCUGGGGUACCUUACCCUGGACCUAUUCUCAAACUUUAAAUUGGUAAGAACCUUUGCCUUUCUUAAUUGAGGUGAGGGGGUCAAUGCGUGUCCCUAGUGGGCCAUUUUUGGUAAGCAGAACUGGCGAUGAGGGUUGCUCCUAACGCUGAGUUAAGGUGCCUAAAUGCAUGCUCAUCAGAUACUACAAAGGGUGUUGGUUCAUUUAGACAG
RNAcentral lists this ribosomal RNA (1197 nucleotides) under Pseudokeronopsis parasongi. RNAcentral's name for it is "Pseudokeronopsis cf. songi partial large subunit ribosomal RNA". It matches the Rfam family "Eukaryotic large subunit ribosomal RNA", at positions 49 to 1240 of the family's 3401-position model. The record is from RNAcentral. Lineage: Eukaryota; Ciliophora; Spirotrichea; Urostylida; Pseudokeronopsidae.